RNAcentral lists this non-coding RNA (847 nucleotides) under Cecembia lonarensis LW9. RNAcentral describes it as "Bacterial large subunit ribosomal RNA". It matches the Rfam family "Bacterial large subunit ribosomal RNA", at positions 1268 to 2110 of the family's 2925-position model. The record is from Rfam by way of RNAcentral. Lineage: Bacteria; Pseudomonadati; Bacteroidota; Cytophagia; Cytophagales; Cyclobacteriaceae.
CCAUGCUGGAGCGUUUGGAAAAGCAAAUGUAGGCAUAAGUAACGAUAAUGCAGGCGAGAAACCUGCACACCGAUAGACUAAGGUUUCCUGAGCAAUGCUAAUCAGCUCAGGGUUAGUCGGGGCCUAAGGCAAACCCGAAGGGGGUAGUCGAUGGAUAACGGGUUAAUAUUCCCGUACUGACUGUAAUGAGUGAUGGGGUGACGAAGGCGUGUAACCCUUGCGCACUGACGGAAUAGUGCGUUAAAGGCCGUAGGUAGACUCACCGUAGGAAAAUCCGCGGAGAGUGCUGAAAGCUGAUAGUACUCCAAGGCUUCGGCUGCGGAGAUAAUGGGGCCAAACAUACUUCCAAGAAAACCCUCUAAGCGUUUACAUUACAGCCACCCGUACCGCAAACCGACACAGGUAGUCAAGUGGCAAUCCACUAAGGUGCUCGAGUGAUUCAUGGUUAAGGAACUAGGCAAAUUAGACCUGUAACUUCGGAAGAAGGGUCGCUCCGCAGGAAUGCGGAGCCGCAGUGAAUAGGUCCAGGCGACUGUUUAACAAAAACACAGGGCUCUGCGAAAUCGAAAGAUGAAGUAUAGGGCCUGACACCUGCCCGGUGCUGGAAGGUUAAGGGGGGAUGUUAGGGGGUAACCUCGAAGCAUUGAACUGAAGCCCCAGUAAACGGCGGCCGUAACUAUAACGGUCCUAAGGUAGCGAAAUUCCUUGUCGGGUAAGUUCCGACCUGCACGAAUGGUGUAACGAUCUGGACACUGUCUCAACCAUGAGCUCGGUGAAAUUGUAGUCGCGGUGAAGAUGCCGCGUACCCGUCACGGGACGGAAAGACCCCAUGAACCUUUACUAUAAC